Molecule: ribosomal RNA, 499 nt
Filed under: uncultured bacterium
Lineage: Bacteria
Description: partial 16S ribosomal RNA
Rfam family: Bacterial small subunit ribosomal RNA
Source: RNAcentral
GACGAACGCUGGCGGCGUGCCUAAUACAUGCAAGUCGAGCGAAGUUUUUCUGGUGCUUGCACCGGAAAAACUUAGCGGCGAACGGGUGAGUAACACGUAAAGAACCUGCCUCAUAGACUGGGACAACUAUUGGAAACGAUAGCGAAUACCGGAUAAUAGCAUUAACUGCAUGGUUGAUGUUUAAAAGUUGGUUUUGCUAACACUAUGAGAUGGCUUUGCGGUGCAUUAGCUAGUUGGUGGGGUAAAGGCCUACCAAGGCGACGAUGCAUAGCCGACCUGAGAGGGUGAUCGGCCACACUGGGACUGAGACACGGCCCAGACUCCUACGGGAGGCAGCAGUAGGGAAUCUUCCGCAAUGGGCGAAAGCCUGACGGAGCAACGCCGCGUGAGUGAAGAAGGAUUUCGGUUCGUAAAGCUCUGUUGUUAGGGAAGAAUGAUUGUGUAGUAACUAUACACAGUAGAGACGGUACCUAACCAGAAAGCCACGGCUAACUACGUG